GAUCCUGGCUCAGGAUGAACGCUAGCUACAGGCUUAACACAUGCAAGUCGAGGGGCAUCAGUUUUGUUUGCUUGCAACCAAAGCUGGCGACCGGCGCACGGGUGAGUACACGUAUCCAACCUGCCUCGAUACUCGGGGAUAGCCUUUCGAAAGAAAGAUUAAUAUCCGAUAGCAUAUAUUUCCCGCAUGGGUUUUAUAUUAAAGAAUUCGGUAUGAGAUGGGGAUGCGUUCCAUUAGUUUG
Molecule: ribosomal RNA, 241 nt
Filed under: uncultured bacterium
Lineage: Bacteria
Description: partial 16S ribosomal RNA
Rfam family: Bacterial small subunit ribosomal RNA
Source: RNAcentral